CACCAGGUUGAUUCUGCCUGACGUAGAUGCUAGUCUCUAAGAUUAAGCCAUGCAUGUCUAUGUAAUAAGGACGAACAGCUCAGUACAACUGCGAUGAUUUAGUCUGUYUGAGAGCGAUAACUACGUGAAAAUGUAGCUAAGAGAGAACAGAAUAAGACGYAGGACUAUCAGUUAGUUGGUAGUGUAAUGGACUACCAAGACGAUGACGGGUAACGGGGAAUCAGGGUUUGAUACCGGAGAGGGAGCCUGAGAGAUAGCUCCCACGUCCAUGGACGGCAGCAGGCGCGAAAAUUGCCCACUSUUGUAGGAGGCAGUUAUGAGACGUGAAGAUGAAUGUUUGGCAAAGAGGAAUAGGAGAAUUGGAGGGCAAGUUUGGUGCCAGCCGCCGCGGUAAUACCGACUCCAAGAGUGUGUGUGAGAGAUGCUGCAGUUAAAAAGUCCGUAGUC
This 447-nucleotide ribosomal RNA is filed under the name Microsporidium sp. BLAT15 PAR. RNAcentral's name for it is "SSU rRNA". It matches the Rfam family "Microsporidia small subunit ribosomal RNA", at positions 1 to 461 of the family's 1311-position model. The record is from RNAcentral. Lineage: Eukaryota; Fungi; Microsporidia.